This 735-nucleotide non-coding RNA is filed under the name Tetraleurodes acaciae (acacia whitefly). The record is from RNAcentral. Lineage: Eukaryota; Metazoa; Arthropoda; Insecta; Hemiptera; Aleyrodidae.
UUAAAAAUUUUAAUUUAGUUUAUAAUUACUAUAAAGAAUUAAAUAUAUAAAAAUAUAAAAUUAAAUAUAAAAUAAUUAAUAUUAAAUAUUAAUCAGUUAAAGAAAUUUAACUUUAGACUAUCUUUUCUAUGUUUACAAAUUUAAGUGCCAGCAGUAGCGGUUACACUUAAAACUCGGUAAUUACCUUUUAUAGGAAUUUAAUUUUACACUAAGAAAAAAAAUAAAACUUAAUAAGUAGAAUUUUACAGUUUUAAAAAUAUUCUUUAUAAUUAUAAUUUAAAAUGAUAUUAAAAACUAGGAUUAGAUACCCUACUAUUAUCUUAAAAUUUAAAUAAAGUAGUAAAAGUUAAUUCUUCAAACUUAAAAAUUAUGGCGGUAUUUUAAACUAACCAGAGGAACUUGCUUAAUAAUCGAUAAUCCACGAGUUAUUAUACAUUUAAAAUUAAAUUUAUAUAUCGCUGUUAAAUAUAAAUUUUUAUGUUUUUUAUUAAUAUGACCAACUAUGUCAAUUACCCCAAGUCAACACAUAAUUUUUUAAUGCUUAAAGUGAGUUACAUUUACUUAAAGUAAUUUUAUAUAAAAAUUAAAAAUUUAAACUAAAAAGGAUUUGAAAUUAAAAUUUUAUUAUAUAUAAAUUUUGAAUAAGUAAUAAAAUAUGUACAAAUUGCCCGUCACUCUUAAAUAAAUUAAGAUAAGUCGUAACAAAGUAAACUUACUGGAAAGUAAAUUUAGAAG